This 87-nucleotide transfer RNA is filed under the name Deltaproteobacteria bacterium. RNAcentral's name for it is "tRNA-Leu". It matches the Rfam family "tRNA". Rfam says of the family: Transfer RNA (tRNA) molecules are approximately 80 nucleotides in length. Their secondary structure includes four short double-helical elements and three loops (D, anti-codon, and T loops). The record is from RNAcentral. Lineage: Bacteria; Pseudomonadati; Myxococcota; Myxococcia. RNAcentral also lists the same sequence under 4 other names.
GCCGAAGUGGCGGAAUUGGUAGACGCGCUAGGUUCAGGACUUAGUGGGUGAAUGCCUGUGCGGGUUCGAUUCCCGCCUUCGGCACCA